GACGAACGCUAGCGGCAGGCCUAAUACAUGCAAGUCGAGGGGUAAGGUCACUUCGGUGAUACACGACCGGCGCACGGGUGCGUAACGCGUAUGCAACCUACCUGUAGCAGGGGGAUAGCCUGUGGAAACAUAGAUUAAUACCCCGUAUAGCAUACAUACUCCAUGGUAUUUAUGCAAAAGCUUCGGUGGCUACAGAUGGGCAUGCGUCUGAUUAGCUAGAUGGUAAGGUAAUGGCUUACCAUGGCAACGAUCAGUAGCGGUUCUGAGAGGAUGAUCCGCCACACUGGGACUGAGACACGGCCCAGACUCCUACGGGAGGCAGCAGUAGGGAAUAUUGGUCAAUGGUCGAGAGACUGAACCAGCCAUGCCGCGUGCAGGAAGACGGCCUUCUGGGUUGUAAACUGCUUUUUACAGGGAAGAAAACGUCCUUGCGAGGGCUCUUGCCGGUACCUGUAGAAUAAGCACCGGCUAACUCCGUGCCAGCAGCCGCGGUAAU
This 496-nucleotide ribosomal RNA is filed under the name uncultured bacterium. RNAcentral's name for it is "bacterial SSU rRNA". It matches the Rfam family "Bacterial small subunit ribosomal RNA", at positions 28 to 524 of the family's 1533-position model. The record is from RNAcentral.